Molecule: non-coding RNA, 253 nt
Filed under: uncultured bacterium
Lineage: Bacteria
Also listed under: 3 other names
Description: partial 16S ribosomal RNA
Rfam family: Bacterial small subunit ribosomal RNA
Source: RNAcentral
UACGUAGGGUGCAAGCGUUAUCCGGAAUUAUUGGGCGUAAAGAGCUCGUAGGCGGUUUGUCGCGUCUGCUGUGAAAACUGGAGGCUCAACCUCCAGCCUGCAGUGGGUACGGGCAGACUAGAGUGCGGUAGGGGAGAUUGGAAUUCCUGGUGUAGCGGUGGAAUGCGCAGAUAUCAGGAGGAACACCGAUGGCGAAGGCAGAUCUCUGGGCCGUAACUGACGCUGAGGAGCGAAAGCAUGGGGAGCGAACAGG